This 305-nucleotide ribosomal RNA is filed under the name uncultured marine eukaryote. RNAcentral's name for it is "SSU rRNA". It matches the Rfam family "Eukaryotic small subunit ribosomal RNA", at positions 619 to 929 of the family's 1831-position model. The record is from RNAcentral.
UUAAAACGCUCGUAGUUGGGUUUCUGUCGGGAACGUCUGGUCUGCCCCAGUGGCGAGUACUAGUUCCGUUUCUGGCUCUUCAUGGGGAACGGGUGCGCACUUCAUUGUGUGGCCCGGAAACCAUGACUUUUACUUUGAGGAAAUGAGAGUGCUUCAAGCGGGUGUCCGCCACGAAUACGUUAGCAUGGAAUAAUAGCAUUGGACCUCGGAUCAUAGCUGUUGGUUGCUGGAACCGAGGUGAGGGUAAACAGGGACAGUUGGGGGCAUUCGUAUUUAACUGUCAGAGGUGAAAUUCUUGGAUUUGU